RNAcentral lists this ribosomal RNA (470 nucleotides) under uncultured bacterium. RNAcentral's name for it is "partial 16S ribosomal RNA". It matches the Rfam family "Bacterial small subunit ribosomal RNA", at positions 331 to 793 of the family's 1533-position model. The record is from RNAcentral.
CCAGACUCCUACGGGAGGCAGCAGUAGGGAAUCUUCGGCAAUGGGGGCAACCCUGACCGAGCAACGCCGCGUGAGUGAAGAAGGUUUUCGGAUCGUAAAGCUCUGUUGUAAGAGAAGAACGUGUGUGAGAGUGGAAAGUUCACACAGUGACGGUAACUUACCAGAAAGGGACGGCUAACUACGUGCCAGCAGCCGCGGUAAUACGUAGGUCCCGAGCGUUAUCCGGAUUUAUUGGGCGUAAAGCGAGCGCAGGCGGUUGGAUAAGUCUGAAGUUAAAGGCUGUGGCUCAACCAUAGUAUGCUUUGGAAACUGUUCAACUUGAGUGCAGAAGGGGAGAGUGGAAUUCCAUGUGUAGCGGUGGAAUGCGUAGAUAUAUGGAGGAACACCGGUGGCGAAAGCGGCUCUCUGGUCUGUAACUGACGCUGAGGCUCGAAAGCGUGGGUAGCGAACAGGAUUAGAUACCCUAGUAA